CGCUGGUCGGAAAACCGAGGAAGGGCUUCCCGCAAACGGGGCCGUCCGACCGCGAGCUUCCGUUCCGCCAGACGCAAUUGUCUCUCGUCCGAAGGACGCCGCAGCCGGUCGGGCAGCSCAAGCGAGACGGCCUGAGGGGCGGACCGACGCAGGUGGCCGGUGGCUCUCCACCCCAGUGGUGGGCCGCCGGUUGUUAGCGGGUCCGUCAGUGGCACGUCGCUCGACCGAGGUAUCACGAGGCCCCCAGCGGGCUCUCACGUCUCCUCCCCAYGGAAGUCGGGACAGGACGUCGCAGGCGAAGGCAGCCGUCCCACCGCACUCCCGCGGAGUGGGCGGGCGAACUGCAGAACGCCCCUAGCGGCGGCGGACCCGUCGGAGGUCGGAGGCUGGCGGCGAGUAGGUCGGUCACCCACCCGACCCGUCUUGAAACACGGACCAAGGAGUCUAACAUGUGCGCGAGUCAAUGGGUCUUGAACAGGCCCAGAGGCGCAAUGAAAGCAAAGGUUCGGCUCCCACGCCGACCGAGUUGGGAUCCGCCGGUUUAGUCCGGCGGCGCACCAACGACCCGUCCCGUGCGGCUCGCCGCUCGGGCGGAGUGUGAGCGUACACGUUGGGACCCGAAAGAUGGUGAACUAUGCCCGGACAGGACGAGGCCAGAG
Molecule: ribosomal RNA, 659 nt
Filed under: Zorocrates fuscus
Lineage: Eukaryota; Metazoa; Arthropoda; Arachnida; Araneae; Zoropsidae
Description: eukaryotic LSU rRNA
Rfam family: Eukaryotic large subunit ribosomal RNA (bases 435-659)
Source: RNAcentral